UUUCCGGUUUGAACUCAGAUCAUGUGCGGGGUAGAGGUCGAACAGACCUUGUGAAAAUAGCUUCUGCACUAUUUGUAGCCGCAAUUCAACAUCGAGGUCGCAAACAAUUAUUUUAAUAAGGGCUUAAAUAAUUAUAACGCUGUUAUCCCUAGAGUACCUUAUUCGUCUAAUUUAAUAAAGAUCAUUGUUAAUAUAAAUAGUCCUAUUUAAAUUUACCCCAAAUA
This 224-nucleotide ribosomal RNA is filed under the name Acartia tonsa. RNAcentral describes it as "partial large subunit ribosomal RNA". Lineage: Eukaryota; Metazoa; Arthropoda; Copepoda; Calanoida; Acartiidae. The record is from RNAcentral.